UCCUUGGUGACUCAGACGGUAAAGCGUCUGCCUGCAAUGCAGGAGACCCAGGUUCCAUCCCUGGGUCGGGAG
Molecule: transfer RNA, 72 nt
Filed under: Ovis aries (sheep)
Lineage: Eukaryota; Metazoa; Chordata; Mammalia; Artiodactyla; Bovidae
Rfam family: tRNA
About the family: Transfer RNA (tRNA) molecules are approximately 80 nucleotides in length.
Source: Rfam by way of RNAcentral